Non-coding RNA from Heterocephalus glaber (naked mole-rat), 64 nucleotides. NCBI's taxonomy places the organism in Eukaryota, Metazoa, Chordata, Mammalia, Rodentia, Bathyergidae. The record is from Rfam.
GGGGAUUUAGCUCAGUGGUUUCAGCAUCUGCCUUGCAAGCACAAGGUCCGGAGUUCAAUCCCCA